AUAAAUAGUAAACUUCAUCUGUAAUGGAGACACUUCACAUGGCUAUUUGUAUUUGCUAUUGGCUAUUUGUUGUAUUUGACAACAUUAUUGACGAAUACGCAAACAAG
Long non-coding RNA from Aricia agestis (brown argus), 107 nucleotides. RefSeq lists it as uncharacterized. Lineage: Eukaryota; Metazoa; Arthropoda; Insecta; Lepidoptera; Lycaenidae. The transcript is spliced from 3 exons. The record is from RefSeq and is a predicted model, not a curated record.